RNAcentral lists this ribosomal RNA (111 nucleotides) under Escherichia coli. RNAcentral describes it as "partial 16S ribosomal RNA". It matches the Rfam family "Bacterial small subunit ribosomal RNA", at positions 1 to 104 of the family's 1533-position model. RNAcentral also lists the same sequence under 11 other names. Lineage: Bacteria; Pseudomonadati; Pseudomonadota; Gammaproteobacteria; Enterobacterales; Enterobacteriaceae. The record is from RNAcentral.
AAAUUGAAGAGUUUGAUCAUGGCUCAGAUUGAACGCUGGCGGCAGGCCUAACACAUGCAAGUCGAACGGUAACAGGAAGCAGCUUGCUGCUUCGCUGACGAGUGGCGGACG